Molecule: long non-coding RNA, 667 nt
Filed under: Arabidopsis lyrata
Lineage: Eukaryota; Viridiplantae; Streptophyta; Magnoliopsida; Brassicales; Brassicaceae
Description: long non-coding RNA (ALYR_LNC001522)
Source: RNAcentral
UCAUCAUUUGUGCCAACACGCAGAGAGGUUGCAGAUUCUGCAGCUAUGUUUGUCACAGAAAGAGAGGUGGAGAGAGAGACAGAGAGAGAAAGAGAUAGCAUAUUAGGCUUUCUCUAUACCAAUGGCCAAACACAUGUGUGUAGUAUACAGAGCCGUAGUGGAAUAGAAGCGGAUGAGGCAAGGGCUGCGGCCCUUGUUAUGUUUAAAACAAUUUUCGGCCCUCUAAACAACAAGAAUUACUUUAGCCUAGUGACUUUGCUAGGUAUUUUCUAGUAAAUGAACCUGAGUUCGAGUCUCUAGGUAGUAUAUAUGUAUUCAUAUGUUUGAUGAUGGUUUAUGUCACAAACUCGUGAAUGUAUGUAAUAAUGUCUAACCAUAUGUAUAAAAUGAUGGAAUUCAUGUAAUAAUGUUAUAUAUAUGCACUUCCAACACGAUUUGUUUAUCGCUAAAUGCAUGCAGUAGCGUACUUUGAGAUUAUAAAUUGUAAUUGCUUCAAAUCAAAAGAAAUAUAUUAUAGUUGCUCGGACCAUCUAUAAUACACAGUUGGUUUUAGGAGUUGUAACGAAUUAAAAUAAAAAAAAAAGGAAGAACAAUGGAACGUGCAACACAAAAAAGGGUUUAGCUUUUUACCAAAAAAAAAAAAAAAGGGGUUUAGCUUUAUAUCUCU